This 429-nucleotide ribosomal RNA is filed under the name Acidobacteriota bacterium. RNAcentral's name for it is "Acidobacteria bacterium partial 16S ribosomal RNA". It matches the Rfam family "Bacterial small subunit ribosomal RNA", at positions 355 to 776 of the family's 1533-position model. The record is from RNAcentral. Lineage: Bacteria; Pseudomonadati; Acidobacteriota.
UAGGGAAUCUUCCGCAAUGGACGAAAGUCUGACGGAGCAACGCCGCGUGAGUGAUGAAGGUUUUCGGAUCGUAAAACUCUGUUGUUAGGGAAGAACAAGUUGGGUAGUAACUGACCCAACCUUGACGGUACCUAACCAGAAAGCCACGGCUAACUACGUGCUAGCAGCCGCGGUAAUACGUAGGUGGCAAGCGUUGUCCGGAAUUAUUGGGCGUAAAGCGCUCGCAGGCGGUCUUUUAAGUCUGAUGUGAAAGCCCACGGCUUAACCGUGGAGGGUCAUUGGAAACUGGGGGACUUGAGUACAGAAGAGGAGAGUGGAAUUCCACGUGUAGCGGUGAAAUGCGUAGAGAUGUGGAGGAACACCAGUGGCGAAGGCGAGUCUCUGGUCUGUAACUGACGCUGAGGAGCGAAGGCGUGGGUAGCGAACAGG